Long non-coding RNA from Dicentrarchus labrax (European seabass), 428 nucleotides. RefSeq lists it as uncharacterized. Lineage: Eukaryota; Metazoa; Chordata; Actinopteri; Moronidae. The transcript is spliced from 4 exons. The record is from RefSeq and is a predicted model, not a curated record.
CGGAGGCGAUGGAUGAUCUCAUAGCGGCCGGUUUUCAGUGCCCACUCCCGAGCACAUUUUCCUUUUGUGGAGUCUACUGCAUUUCACAGGUAGACCUCCCAGUGUGCCAUACCAGUGAGCCAGUAUGCACAAACCUAGGGCCCUGAAACUGAAACACCUCAAUUGAAUACAGGUACAACUAACCUGCUUGGGAUGCAAUCAUCAGAGCAGUGUUUCCUUCAUUGUCCUGGUGAUUUAUGUCUAUAUAAGGACAGCUGUGAAGCCCAUAAACAAUGUCCACAAACCCUUUGCAGCAAGCCACCAUCAAGCCAUUCUGUUGGUGACAGUGAAAGAACUUUCCGCAGAGAGACGGGUUCAUUACGGGCGCACGCUCGGUACAGUGUUGAUGCAGCAAGCCCGUUUGUUCUUUCUGGCAUGUACUCUGGAAG